AUUGAACGCUGGCGGCAUGCUUUACACAUGCAAGUCGAACGGUAACAGGUUAAGCUGACGAGUGGCGAACGGGUGAGUAAUGCAUCGGAACAUGCCCGAUCGUGGGGGAUAACGCAGCGAAAGCUGCGCUAAUACCGCAUACGAUCUGAGGAUGAAAGCGGGGGACCGUAAGGCCUCGCGCGAUCGGAGCGGCCGAUGUCAGAUUAGGUAGUUGGUGGGGUAAAGGCUCACCAAGCCAACGAUCUGUAGCUGGUCUGAGAGGACGACCAGCCACACUGGGACUGAGACACGGCCCAGACUCCUACGGGAGGCAGCAGUGGGGAAUUUUGGACAAUGGGCGAAAGCCUGAUCCAGCAAUGCCGCGUGCAGGAAGAAGGCCUUCGGGUUGUAAACUGCUUUUGUACGGGGCGAAAAGGCUCUCUCUAAUACAGGGGGCUCAUGACGGUACCGUAAGAAUAAGCACCGGCUAACUACGUGCCAGCAGCCGCGGUAA
RNAcentral lists this ribosomal RNA (493 nucleotides) under uncultured bacterium. RNAcentral's name for it is "partial 16S ribosomal RNA". It matches the Rfam family "Bacterial small subunit ribosomal RNA", at positions 29 to 523 of the family's 1533-position model. The record is from RNAcentral.